UACGUAGGAGUCUAGCGUUGUCCGGAAUUACUGGGCGUAAAGCGCGUGUAGGCGGCAUACCAAGUCUGUUGUGAAAUCGCCCGGCUCAACUGGGCGGGGUCAAUGGAAACUGGUAAGCUGGAGGACGGUAGAGGCGAGUGGAAUUCCCGGUGUAGUGGUGAAAUGCGUAGAGAUCGGGAGGAACACCUGUGGCGAAGGCGGCUCGCUGGGCCGAUCCUGACGCUGAGACGCGAAAGCUAGGGGAGCAAACGGG
Molecule: ribosomal RNA, 253 nt
Filed under: uncultured bacterium
Lineage: Bacteria
Description: partial 16S ribosomal RNA
Rfam family: Bacterial small subunit ribosomal RNA
Source: RNAcentral